RNAcentral lists this small nuclear RNA (78 nucleotides) under Necator americanus (New World hookworm). RNAcentral describes it as "SmY spliceosomal RNA". It matches the Rfam family "SmY spliceosomal RNA". Lineage: Eukaryota; Metazoa; Nematoda; Chromadorea; Rhabditida; Ancylostomatidae. The record is from Rfam by way of RNAcentral.
CGAUCUCUUUUCGCAGUAACAGGGCCUUUGCCAAGACCCGUGGACAAAUUUUUGGGAACCCUUACGAGGAUAAGGGUU